GCAAAGGGAUGCCUUAGUAGCGGCGAGUGAAGCGGCAAAAGCUCAAAUUUGAAAUCUGGCUCUUUCAGAGUCCGAGUUGUAAUUUGAAGAAGGUAUCUUUGGGUCUGGCUCUUGUCUAUGUUUCUUGGAACAGAACGUCACAGAGGGUGAGAAUCCCGUGCGAUGAGAUGAUCCAGGCCUAUGUAAAGUUCCUUCGAAGAGUCGAGUUGUUUGGGAAUGCAGCUCUAAGUGGGUGGUAAAUUCCAUCUAAAGCUAAAUAUUGGCGAGAGACCGAUAGCGAACAAGUACAGUGAUGGAAAGAUGAAAAGAACUUUGAAAAGAGAGUGAAAAAGUACGUGAAAUUGUUGAAAGGGAAGGGCUUGAGAUCAGACUUGGUAUUUUGUAUGUUACUUCUUCGGGGGUGGCCUCUACAGUUUAUCGGGCCAGCAUCAGUUUGGGCGGUAGGAGAAUUGCGUUGGAAUGUGGCACGACUUCGGUUGUGUGUUAUAGCCUUCGUCGAUACUGCCAGCCUAGACUGAGGACUGCGGUUUAUACCUAGGAUGUUGGCAUAAUGAUCUUAAGUCGCCCGUCUUAAAACCCGGGACCAAAA
Molecule: ribosomal RNA, 589 nt
Filed under: Candida tropicalis
Lineage: Eukaryota; Fungi; Ascomycota; Pichiomycetes; Serinales; Debaryomycetaceae
Description: partial large subunit ribosomal RNA
Rfam family: Eukaryotic large subunit ribosomal RNA
Source: RNAcentral